RNAcentral lists this non-coding RNA (776 nucleotides) under Hypolimnas anthedon (variable eggfly). Lineage: Eukaryota; Metazoa; Arthropoda; Insecta; Lepidoptera; Nymphalidae. The record is from RNAcentral.
AUAAAAUAAUUAUGUUUUUGAAAAUUUAUUAUAAAUUUAUUUUACAUAUAAAUUUUAGUAUAUAAUUUUAAUUAUUUAAAUAAUGAUUAAUUUAAAUGUUAAGUAGUAAUUUAUAUUAAAAAUUUAAGAAAUUAAGAUUUAGUAAUAUAAAAAUUAAUAACUAAUUUUGUGCCAGCAGUUGCGGUUAAACAAAGAUUAAAUUAAAUUAUUUCAGUUUAUAAUAAAUAAUUUUAUUAUUAAAAUAAAUAUUAAAUUAUUAAGUGAAAUUUUAAUUUAAUUAAAUUUUAUAUAAUAAUUAUGAUUUAAUAAAUUUUAAUAUAAACUAGGAUUAGAUACCCUAUUAUUAAAAAUUUAAUUAAUAAUACUAAAAUAGUAAAUAAUAAUUUAUUGAAACUUAAAUAAUAUGGCGGUAUUUUAGUUCAUUUAGAGGAAUCUGUCUAAUAAUUGAUAAUCCACGAAUAAAUUUACUUAAUUUAUAAUUUUGUAUAUCAUUGUUAAAAAAAUAUUUUUUAGUAAAAAUAAUAUUUUAAUUUUAUUAUAUAAAGUUAAAUCAGAUCAAGAUGCAGAAUAUAAUUAAGAAUAUGAUGGAUUACAAAAAAUAUAUUUAAAUGAAUAAUUUAUUGUAAUAUAAAUUUGAAGGUGGAUUUAAAUGUAAUUUUAAUUAAUUUAUUAAAAUGAUUAAUAAUUAAAAUAUGUACAUAUUGCCCGUCACUUUCAUUUAAAAAUUGAAAUAAGUCGUAACAAAGUAGAGGUACUGGAAAGUGUUUCUAGAAAGA